RNAcentral lists this ribosomal RNA (467 nucleotides) under uncultured bacterium. RNAcentral describes it as "partial 16S ribosomal RNA". It matches the Rfam family "Bacterial small subunit ribosomal RNA", at positions 28 to 507 of the family's 1533-position model. The record is from RNAcentral.
GAUGAACGCUGGCGGCGUGCUUAACACAUGCAAGUCGAACGGAAAGGCCCAAGCUUGCUUGGGUACUCGAGUGGCGAACGGGUGAGUAACACGUGGGUGAUCUGCCCUGCACUUCGGGAUAAGCCUGGGAAACUGGGUCUAAUACCGGAUAGGACCACUUCUUGGAUGUUGUGGUGGAAAGUUUUUUCGGUGUGGGAUGAGCUCGCGGCCUAUCAGCUUGUUGGUGGGGGAAUGGCCUACCAAGGCGUCGACGGGUAGCCGGCCUGGGAGGGUGUACGGCCACAUUGGGCCUGAGAUACGGCCCAGACUCCUACGGGGGGCAGCAGUGGGGAAUAUUGCACAAUGGGCGCCAGCCUGAUGCAGCGACGCCGCGUGGGGGAUGACGGCCUUCGGGUUGUAAACUCCUUUCGCUAGGGACGAAGCGUUUUGUGACGGUACCUGGAGAAGAAGCACCGGCUAACUACGUG